RNAcentral lists this ribosomal RNA (273 nucleotides) under uncultured Staphylococcus sp. RNAcentral's name for it is "partial 16S ribosomal RNA". It matches the Rfam family "Bacterial small subunit ribosomal RNA", at positions 89 to 355 of the family's 1533-position model. Lineage: Bacteria; Bacillati; Bacillota; Bacilli; Caryophanales; Staphylococcaceae. The record is from RNAcentral.
ACGUUAGCGGCGGACGGGUGAGUAACACGUGGGUAACCUACCUAUAAGACUGGGAUAACUUAGGGAAACCGGAGCUAAUACCGGAUAAUAUUUCGAACCGCAUGGUUCGAUAGUGAAAGAUGGUUUUGCUAUCACUUAUAGAUGGACCCGCGCCGUAUUAGCUAGUUGGUAAGGUAACGGCUUACCAAGGCGACGAUACGUAGCCGACCUGAGAGGGUGAUCGGCCACACUGGAACUGAGACACGGUCCAGACUCCUACGGGAGGCAGCAGUC